Molecule: long non-coding RNA, 2376 nt
Organism: Acanthochromis polyacanthus (spiny chromis)
Lineage: Eukaryota; Metazoa; Chordata; Actinopteri; Pomacentridae
Exons: 2
Source: RefSeq, a predicted model, not a curated record
UACCCCCACUGCAAAGAUGCAUAGUUCCUGCUACGCUGGAAUCUAUUCUUGCUCCACAGCUUUCAGGUGGGAUGCUUUUGAGUUAUUUUUAUUUUAAAUUUCAUUGCCUUCCAAAAAUAAUGACCUAAAUAAAUCUUUUUUUUUGACAAAAGUUAUUUUUUUUGCCUCGAUCAUCUCCUCAUGAUGUUUACCACCUCUGGUAAAAUCGUCUACAUCCUCAGUUGAAUAGAUCAUGCAGUUCUACCCCUGUAGCACAAUGGCCUAGGUCAAGGUUCAAUGUGAUGUGGUUCAGUUUUUUGUGUUUCCUGAAAAACCUGAAAAAAUGACUUAGGUCAUUAUUAACCACGCCCGAUGGGUACGUCAGCGGGGUUAUUGCAUUCGGUGCGGUAUCUGGCUGGGUAUGUAUGUAUGUAUGUAUGUAUGUAUGUAUGUAUCUAUGUAUGUAUCUAUGUAUGUAUGUAUCUAUGUAUGUAUGCGGCUAUGUCCGGUCCGAUAUCUCUGCAACCGCUGAAGUCAGGAUAAUCAAACUUGGCACUGAAGAUCAGUCUAAGGUCCCCUGCUCAGUUGUGGAGUUACAGGUCAGCAGAUCAAGUAGGGAGGGAGAUACGUACGAUGAUCAAAAUUGAUACAUAUUGCAUCAGUUGUAUUGACCCUUUGCGUGUGACGUCACGCUUCGUAUAGGAACGCCCCCGCUGUCUGAGUGGACGUCAACACGGAGCCGCCUGUCUUCCCACCAAACACAAAUCUCUUGUAAAGAAAACAACCGUAGGCUAUUUUGCUUGGGUUUUAUCCACUUCACAAAAAUGGUAAUCGCUUGCUGUGCUGUCGGCUGCACAAAUAGGCAGGGGUGCAAGCAAAACUUGUCUUUUUAUCGGAUACCUCUUGAUAAAGACAGACGACGAAGAUGGAUAGCAACUAUCAAUCGGAAGAACUGGCAGCCGUCAAAAUAUUCAAGAAUUUGCAGCGAACACUUUGUACAAGGAAAAAAGAGCGAGGACCCCUUGUCCCCUGAUUAUGUGCCAUCAAUUUUUGCCCAUACCAAGUCCCCAGCAAAAAGACGUGCUCAGGACAUUGUCAAGAAAUAUGACUUGCGACAAAAACUGAAGAAAAAAAAGCUGCAGAUGUCAUCAAGAAAUGAAGCUGCCAGGACGCUCCUCAGUCUCUCAACCACAGUACCUGAGUUUGAAGAGGACACUGAAAAUGCAGUGGCAGUGUGCGACAACAUUUCAAAUGAGAUUAUGUGCCAAACCAGCCUCAGCGGAGAAGACAUUGAGAUUCUUCAACAAGAGUGUCAACUUUUGCGUAGUGAGACAUUUGAACUUAAAGAGAAGCUAGACUUGGACUUCUUUCAACAAAAAGCCUUGAAAACCUAGACAAACUAAAAACACUCACUGGACUACACAGUUAUGACGUGUUCAUGGCCAUUUUUGACCUUGUAAAGCCAUUUCUCAAAGACACGCCACACCUGACAGGUUUCCAGCAGCUACUCAUUACAAUAAUGCGUCUCAAAGAAAAUUUAACUGCAUCAUUUUUAUCUUAUCUUUUUGGUGUUCAUACUUCAACUGUGUCAAGAGUUUUUACUUAUGUGAUUAAUGUUCUGAAUGAGAUCUUAGUUCCAGCUUGUGUAUUGUGGCCCAAGAGGGAGCACGUCCAAACAUCUAUGCCAAUGUGCUUCAGAAAGUCCUUCAAACAUUGCAUGUCAGUUAUUGAUUGUUUUGAGAUAUUUAUUGAUAAACCAAAAGAUUUAAAGGCAAGGGCUCAAACAUAUUCUCAAUAUAAAUCCCACAACACCAUGAAAUAUCUGAUCAGCAUCACUCCACAAGGUGUCAUCUCUUUCAUCUCAAAGGGCUGGGGAGGAAGAAGUACAGAUGCCCACAUUACAGCUAACAGUGGCUUUUUGGAUCACCUUCAGCCUGGAGAUGUAGUCCUUGCCGACCGUGGUUUCACCAUCCAGAACCAAGUUGGCCUGUACUGUGCAAAGGUUGAAAUCCCUGCGUUCACACGAGGCAAAAAACAACUGGGCGCAGCUGAGCUGGAAGACACCAGGAGACUUGCAGCAGUCCGCAUCCACGUCGAGAGGGUCAUUGGCCAAGCUCGCUCCAAGUACAAGAUGCUGAAGGGACCGGUGCCCAUUAGUCUCCUCUCCACUGAUGAUACAGACUACACUACUCUGGACAAAAUAGUGAGAGUAGCGUGUGCCCUUACAAAUCUGUGCCCCUCUGUUGUGCCAACUGAUUAACUGGUGUGUUCAAUUUCCACAUAUGUGAUGAACAGUAAUGAUGCAUUUCAAGAAAGUAAUUUAAAGCAACUUUAUUUGACUGUUGCCACUUUACACUUGUCAAUGUAACAAACAGUGAAAUAAAAUAUAUAUAUAUA